Molecule: ribosomal RNA, 165 nt
Filed under: uncultured bacterium
Lineage: Bacteria
Description: partial 16S ribosomal RNA
Rfam family: Bacterial small subunit ribosomal RNA
Source: RNAcentral
CCUACGGGAGGCAGCAGUGGGGAAUCUUGCACAAUGGGGGCAACCCUGAUGCAGCGACGCCGCGUGAGCGAUGAAGCCCUUCGGGUGUAAAGCUCUUUCGGCAGGGACGAUGAUGACGGUACCCGCAGAAUAAGCCCCGGCUAACUUCGUGCCAGCAGCCGCGGU